UGGGGAAUUUUGGACAAUGGGCGCAAGCCUGAUCCAGCAAUGCCGCGUGCAGGAUGAAGGCCUUCGGGUUGUAAACCGCUUUUGUACGGAGCGAAAAGGUCUGCCCUAAUACGGUGGGCUCAUGACGGUACCGUAAGAAUAAGCACCGGCUAACUACGUGCCAGCAGCCGCGGUAAUACGUAGGGUGCGAGCGUUAAUCGGGGUUACUGGGCGUAAAGCGUGCGCAGGCGGUUAUAUAAGACAGGUGUGAAAUCCCCGGGCUCAACCUGGGACCUGCAUUUGUGACUGUGUCGCUAGAGUACGGUAGAGGGGGAUGAAAUUCCGCGUGUAGCAGUGAAAUGCGUAGAUAUGCGGAGGAACACCGAUGGAGAAGGCAAUCCCCUGGACCUGUACUGCCGCUCAUGCACGAAAGCGUGGGGAGCAAACA
Molecule: ribosomal RNA, 427 nt
Filed under: uncultured bacterium
Lineage: Bacteria
Description: bacterial SSU rRNA
Rfam family: Bacterial small subunit ribosomal RNA
Source: RNAcentral